GUGCUGUUGGUGGGAAUCGUGAUCGCCACCCUCGCUGGCGCCUUUGGUGGUGGGUCAGAGGUGAUCGUGGUUCCGACCACGAUGGCUCC
RNAcentral lists this transfer RNA (89 nucleotides) under Acidimicrobiales bacterium. RNAcentral describes it as "tRNA-Glu". Lineage: Bacteria; Bacillati; Actinomycetota; Acidimicrobiia; Acidimicrobiales. The record is from RNAcentral.